CGCAAAGCACAUGCAAUUCGCACACGUGCACACACACACACACGCACACACACGCACACACACACGCACACACACGCACACACACACGCACACACACCCAUACGCGCACGCAUGCCACCACAGCGAAUAGGUGCACGCAAUGCUUGACUGCGGCCCUGUCUAUGUGUGUCCAAGUAUCCCACUCCAUGUAUACUGCAUAGAAAAGGCGGAGAGAACAAACCCACCAAAAAAAAAAGAAAACAAGGCACGAGGCUCACGUCUCUUACCCGCGCUCCACACCAAGAAAGAUGGCUGUGCUGGUGGUGGGCGAACACAGCGAGAGGCGAAGAAGGAAAAGGCGUAGCUGAGAGCUGACGGACAGCGAGCAGGGACCUGAGAACGUUUGCUUUCUAGUAUCGAAGGACCCAGCUCUGCGAGGUGGUGCCGCCUGUGACGUGCUGGACCACGGCACAGCUCGUUUCGUCGGCCACCUCUUGACCUCUCUCUCUCUCGCCGUACUCAAAGUGUGUGCGUGCGCUCGACGUCACUUCAGUGACAGUGUUCCCCCUUCCACGCACCUACCGUGUCGUGCUCGAGCCGUGCACCAGGAGUGUUGUAUCAGCAUCAUACAUCGCUCCUAUUCAGCGGAAACUUUCCGAACCGCUGUCCGCAGCCGAAGCGCUCAACCGCUUGGCCGAGAAGCCCCCUCCUCAGGCUCUCUGGACUCAUGGCUCGGCGGCGUUCUAGCGGGUUGUGGCGGACGGGCGCGCUUCUGACCUAUGAGAGUUUUCGAUCCUUUUCGAAGGCCAACGCUAUCACAGUGAGCAGCUCCGUGCUCAUAGAAGAGUCGCCUUGCACUGCCGGCUCUUCUCCCCCCUCCUGCGACUGGAGCUCACCAGUUUACAGGCGAUCAAGCGACUGCCUCGCCCCGACUGCGUCCCGGAACGACUCUUGUGACUGUUGCGUCUUGCACGUGCGGCAAGUGCGCCGCGGUCACAAACUGCAGGUAGCACAGCUGCUAAAAGAAAUGGUGCUCCUGGAAGCGAUGAAAACAAUAGUGAUGUGCAUGGCGAGUUUCGAGUUUCUCUCACAUGAUACGCUCAUUAUCCCUGCAGUGGCAGCAGUACCACCCGCUUCUUUAGUCGAGGACGGCAUGGAAUUGUGGAUGCAUCUCGCCUCGGAACUGGUAGCUGGGCUGUGGCACGGCAGUCCGAGAACGUGCGACAGCUGUGCUGGUGCACUGCUCUCUCCUUGUCUUUCCCUGCACCCGCCCACCUGUGCGAGCUCAGCGUCUUUUUUGCACAACUGCGCAGUCUCGAGAAAAUUGGACGAGCUCACCGAGCUGACGACGACGUCGUCGUCACUCUCCACGCAAUACCUCCUUCUGUGGUCGCCUGGGAAGCGUGCAUGGGUGCUGGAGGUCCGCCUCGCAUGACCAUCAAAGCCCGCGCCACCUGCUGGUGGCAAUGCCUCCUAGCCAGCAGACGUCUUUGAAGUGGCCUUAGGAGUGCGUCACACAGGAGUGAGUAGGCCAAGUAACGUUGGCGAGGCAAGGAAUGACGAAUGGUGGUGGCGUCGUCGCCCCGACCCCACCACUGCUCUCCCUGGCUCGCUUUGUGCUGCCGCUUUUGCUGUCCCUCUGCGCUCUCAUUGUCUUGGGGUGCUCCGGCGUUGCAACGUGACGAUCACGCCGACGUGUAUGCAAGCACGGCCACAUCAGAGGCACAGGCAAUGAACCUGCUGACGUGCGGAGGAGACGAACCACAAAACAAACGCCAAAGAGCGCUGGUAAGAGCAGAUGCUGGUGCGCCAGCAGUGCGUGACGGCAACAUUUUGUGCCUCUCAACCGUGCCUUGUAUACACGAGGGGCAGUGAUGGCAGCGUCAGAGGCCUCGUCGCGGGUGCACCCUGAAUCAAGCAAGGGUAUCCGGUCUCACGAGGUCAUCUUGCUUCAUAGCGCCUUGACUGAGAAGCGCUGGUUCCGCCCUCGCCUGCAUGUCCUAUGCGGCUGUAAAAGGAGUGGCAUCAGCCAUCGGUCUUUUGUUUUCUAUCUCAUCACUUCCACCGUUUCGCCCAUCAUCAUGACGCUGCGUUUUCGUUGUGUGCAUUACCAUCUUCCUCCGUUUGAUCGUUGGACGGCCCUGCCAG
Molecule: unclassified non-coding RNA, 2127 nt
Filed under: Leishmania donovani
Lineage: Eukaryota; Euglenozoa; Kinetoplastea; Trypanosomatida; Trypanosomatidae
Description: gene:unknown
Source: RNAcentral